Long non-coding RNA from Hordeum vulgare subsp. vulgare (domesticated barley), 1405 nucleotides. RefSeq lists it as uncharacterized. The record is from RefSeq and is a predicted model, not a curated record. Lineage: Eukaryota; Viridiplantae; Streptophyta; Magnoliopsida; Poales; Poaceae. The transcript has 3 exons.
UAUGUGUUGCUGCUCUAGAGGCCAAAGCAAAGGCAUCUACUUCACUGGACCGUCAGCCAGCCCACUAUACCGCUUCCACUACUAGUCUUCGCUAAAGGUGAUCCAUAGGAGUGACCAUGUCCAAUCAUCCAUCCAGUCUUGCACUACCGAUGCAAGGAGAAGAGUGGAGCAAUCGGUUCAAUCCGCUCCUGAUGUGAGGACGCCAGCGUGCCUCGCUUGAUUGAAUCCAUGAGAGGUGUGGGAUCGCUGCAGGUCGAUGCGUGUGAUGGGAGCCUGCGAUCGACCCCUCUACUUCGGUGAUCUCUACCCUUUCUUCCAUCUUCUCCGAGGGUAUCCAGCGCAAGGAACCCAGCGGACGUGUGGGAUGUGGGUACCCGAUCCUCGCAUGUAUGCGGCGUGUAGUCUCCCAACUUCGUGCCAGCGCCCGAACAAUGGAUCUUUUAUUCGAUCUUGUAGGCUGGUGGCCAAGGCAUGGCGAUUUGCCUAUUCAUCUCCCGAUCUCUGAUUGGGAAAUAAGACGUAUGGGAAGAUACAUGUGAUGCAUGCAAAUACAUCCUUUCCUCAUCAAGGAUUUCUUUUUUAAAUCAGCAAAGAACAUUAAUAAGCCCAUGGAAGGAAGUUCCACAAAAGUAACUCCAUGGUUGAAGAUCUAGGUGGACCGUGAUGUCCUUGUCAGUUAUCCUCCCUAUGCAUAUUCAGUUAUUGAUUUUAUACAUGUACCCUCUAUUUUUGGAAAGACAGACUCCUUUAUAGGCAGGGAAAUUCUACGUUUUUGCUUUACUAUAUUUCUGGUCCACAUUGUUUAUUUACUAUAUUUAUGGUCCAUUUAUCAUGCUCCUAUUUCAAUGUACAUAUGUUGUUGAAAUAGUUCAGUAAUCUCAUGUGUCUUGAAGGUUUGACUCCCUGCUCGAGCCUAGGAUUAUGUCAAGAUGAACAUCCACAUAACAGAUAUUGAGUGAACACUAGCAUUGACAACAAUGGCACCAACAGAACAUAGAAUAUGUUGAUCACUCGUGCAAUUGGUCACACACUUACUACAACAGUAUAGCCAUCUACCAAAUUAUAAAGUACUUUACAUAUUUCUUCAAUGCAUGACUCCAACAUAGUUGUCUCCAAAUCUAUGAGAAAAAACACCAUUGAUUGCCAGCCGACAAACACAGAAUGAUCCAAAGGCACCUAGCACAAAUGCAUCCAUCAUUUCUGUAUGUUUUACUUAUUAUGUCGUCUGCGUGCGACAACUAUCACUCAGCUGGGUGAUAGACUUUGUGUUUGCCAGUUCCAACUUACAUGUACUGUGUUUUUGAAGAAAAGUUAUACUUAUCUGAACUGAAUUAUAUGAUACUUGGAUCUCUACAAUCAACCUUAUUUAUACUCUAAAGUGAUGUUUGGCUUUGCGACAUUACGA